Notothenia coriiceps (black rockcod) is the source of this 1774-nucleotide long non-coding RNA. RefSeq lists it as uncharacterized. The record is from RefSeq and is a predicted model, not a curated record. Lineage: Eukaryota; Metazoa; Chordata; Actinopteri; Perciformes; Nototheniidae. The transcript has 2 exons.
AUCAAGUCGUAAACGGUUAGUAACAGGACAAGCAGGUAAGUAGGAUUCUUGUUAUUUUUCUCAAAAUUAACGAACGCACCGCUUGUCAGGAAAAAACACUAAUUUGGUUAAACUAUUAGCUGUUCGAUUUGAGCAGCUUGGAAUUUUGUCUUGCACUUUCAUGCCAAACGUGCAAUAAAACGGUAGUCAUUGAGAAGUCAGUAUGGGGAUCGGGAAGCAAACAAGCUAGCUAGCUGAGUCUGCUAGCUAAGUUGGCUGUUAUUGGCCGUUAGCUCACUACGUCAACAUUAGCAUGGCUAACAUUAGCUUAUCAUCUAGCGCUGGGAGAAAGUACAGUUAAUUCUGUCACUAUAUCGUUGGCAUUGAAUUAAUUGACACGAUAAGCCAGUAAAGAACCCAACUCAUAAGUUGCUUUUACAUUCCCGAGACCAGUGUUAAUAUUAUUCAACAUGUAAAACUUUUUCAUUAUAAAUGUGCAAUGAUAACGUUCCCGUAGGUUAACAUUAGCCCGGCUAGCGCUAGCUUGCCAGCUGGACGUAAAAAAAGAAUACCCUUCAGAGUCUGUUAAGAACUUGGUUUAGUGGGUGUUGCUCUGACCUGAAAUACGAAUAAACUAAUUUUUGUUUAUGUAUUCUUAUUCUUUUAGGAGUCAUGUUAUUUCCAUGUGCGGAAACUGGAGUUAUGGCUUUAUGGAUUAUUGAAUGGAGCGAACCAACAAUGGAGUUAAAGGAGCACCAUAUGGCGCAUCUUAUCAGGACAACCAAGCAUCCCUGUGGAAGUAUUUCUGACAGCUGGGAAGAGACAUAAAACCUGCUGGAUGGAUCACACAUCGCAGCAAAGUGUGGGAGACUGCUUCUUAUCCCUUGAGGAGGUUUAGGAUGCAGAUUGAGAGGCAGGAAGUGUAAGCAACUUCUUUUAGGCUGUUGACUUUGUGACAUGGAACAUAAUUUGAGCAGAAAAGAACACAUUUAGGAUAACUAUCCAAGUUAUCACAUAUUUAAUUGUGACAUUUGUAGUUUUGCUCCUGAGACUUGUAUGUAGAUAUCAAUUUGAAAUAGUAUUCAGAACAGGCGGAUAUGGACAGUUUCUAAUUUACACAUAGGAUUGGUAAUGACUUGCUUAUUAUUCAUGGUUGUCUGAUAAUACUCAGAGUUCAUGCAAGACCUGUAGAAAACAAGUGGUAUGCAAUAAUUAGCAUUACUUAAGCAAGGAUGCAACAUAGCACUGAGUACAUCUAAUGUGGAUGAUGUCCUUGGAAAAACAUCUAGCGCACAGGAAGUGACAAUUAUAGUAGUUUAUUUAGAGUCAUAGAAGAUCAACCAGAUAAGCGUGAGCAACAGUAAAUUGAAAAAGUAGAGAUAGGCAAGUAACCACAUAAAUGGGAACUUUCUUAACAGAAACAAAUAUAAGAGAUAUCAGUACUGUACACACUUAAACAGCAACAGUUAAUAUAUAUAUAUAUAUAUAUAUAUAUAUACUCUAGGGUAUAACAUAAUAUAUUAUAACAGUAAUAUAUUAUAUUAUAUAAUUUAUAUUAUGUUUUAAAAGCUGGGGCUGGUUUUUGAAACAGCUUUUUUGUAUGAAGUGCAAGCUUCAAAAAUAUUGCAUGUCCGCUUGUGUUUAGGCAUUAUUUAACUUGACCUUCUUUUCAAUAUUAUAAAAGCGGUCUUAAGUAAAAGUGAAAGAUACAAAAAUAAUGCCCAGCCCUAUUUAAUGCUUGUAUGAACAGUUUUUAUAUUUUCAGAUUUAAAAAAUAAAUAUUUUCUGAGUUGGA